Molecule: ribosomal RNA, 253 nt
Filed under: uncultured bacterium
Lineage: Bacteria
Description: partial 16S ribosomal RNA
Rfam family: Bacterial small subunit ribosomal RNA
Source: RNAcentral
GACGUAGGGGGCAAGCGUUGUCCGGAAUCAUUGGGCGUAAAGAGCGUGUAGGCGGCCCGGUAAGUCCGCUGUGAAAGUCCAGGGCUCAACCCUGGGAUGCCGGUGGAUACUGUCGGGCUCGAGUCCGGAAGAGGAGUGUGGAAUUCCUGGUGUAGCGGUGAAAUGCGCAGAUAUCAUGAGGAACACCAAUGGCGAAGGCAGCACUCUGGGACGUGACUGACGCUGAGACGCGAAAGCGUGGGGAGCAAACAGG